AAACUUUUGUGGUUCAUAAGCGUGAUGAUUGGGUUUUCACACUAACUAAUAUGAGCGUGCCUCUCUCUAACCUUCUUAUGACACUGGCACAUUACCUGUCUGAUG
Lemur catta (Ring-tailed lemur) is the source of this 105-nucleotide small nucleolar RNA. RefSeq annotates it as small nucleolar RNA U13. The transcript has a single exon. The record is from RefSeq and is a predicted model, not a curated record. Lineage: Eukaryota; Metazoa; Chordata; Mammalia; Primates; Lemuridae.